Molecule: ribosomal RNA, 523 nt
Filed under: uncultured bacterium
Lineage: Bacteria
Description: partial 16S ribosomal RNA
Rfam family: Bacterial small subunit ribosomal RNA
Source: RNAcentral
GACGAACGCUGGCGGCGUGCCUAAUACAUGCAAGUCGAGCGCAGGAAGCUGACGGAACUCUUCGGAGAGAAGGCAGUGGAAUGAGCGGCGGACGGGUGAGUAACACGUAAGGAACCUGCCUCAAGGAUUGGGAUAACUCCGAGAAAUCGGAGCUAAUACCGGAUAGUUCAACGGACCGCAUGGUCCGCUGAUGAAAGGCGCUUCGGCGUCACCUUGAGAUGGCCUUGCGGUGCAUUAGCUAGUUGGUGGGGUAACGGCCCACCAAGGCGACGAUGCAUAGCCGACCGGAGAGGGUGAUCGGCCACACUGGGACGGAGACACGGCCCAGACUCCUACGGGAGGCAGCAGUAGGGAAUCUUCCACAAUGGACGAAAGUCUGAUGGAGCAACGCCGCGUGAGUGAUGAAGGUUUUCGGAUCGUAAACUCUGUUGUAAGGGAAGAACACGUACGAGAGGGAAUGCUCGUACCUUGACGGUACCUUACGAGAAAGCCACGGCUAACUACGUGCCAGCCGCCGCGGUAA